AGAGUUUGAUCCUGGCUCAGGACGAACGCUGGCGGCGUGCUUAACACAUGCAAGUCGAACGGAAAGGCCCUUCGGGGUACUCGAGUGGCGAACGGGUGAGUAACACGUGGGUGAUCUGCCCUGCACUUUGGGAUAAGCCUGGGAAACUGGGUCUAAUACCGAAUAUGACCAUGCGCCUCCUGGUGUGUGGUGGAAAGCUUUUGCGGUGUGGGAUGGGCCCGCGGCCUAUCAGCUUGUUGGUGGGGUAAUGGCCUACCAAGGCGACGACGGGUAGCCGGCCUGAGAGGGUGACCGGCCACACUGGGACUGAGAUACGGCCCAGACUCCUACGGGAGGCAGCAGUGGGGAAUAUUGCACAAUGGGCGCAAGCCUGAUGCAGCGACGCCGCGUGAGGGAUGACGGCCUUCGGGUUGUAAACCUCUUUCAAUAGGGACGAAGCGCAAGUGACGGUACCUAUAGAGGAAGCACCGGCCAACUACGUGCCAGCAGCCGCGGUAAUACGUAGGGUGCGAGCGUUGUCCGGAAUUACUGGGCGUAAGGAGCUCGUAGGUGGUUUGUCGCGUUGUUCGUGAAAACUCACAGCUUAACUGUGGGCGUGCGGGCGAUACGGGCAGACUAGAGUACUGCAGGGGAGACUGGAAUUCCUGGUGUAGCGGUGGAAUGCGCAGAUAUCAGGAGGAACACCGGUGGCGAAGGCGGGUCUCUGGGCAGUAACUGACGCUGAGGAGCGAAAGCGUGGGGAGCGAACAGAAUUAGAUACCCUGGUAGUCCACGCCGUAAACGAGAGGGGGCUAGGGGUGGGUUCCUUCCUUGGGGAUCCGUGCCGUAGCUAACGCAUUAAGUACCCCGCCUGGGGAGUACGGCCGCAAGGCUAAAACUCAAAAGAAUAGACGGGGGCCCGCACAAGCGGCGGAGCAUGUGGAUUAAUUAGAUGCAACGCGAAGAACCUUACCUGGGUUUGACAUGCACAGGACGCCGGCAGAGAUGUCGGUUCCCUUGUGGCCUGUGUGCAGGUGGUGCAUGGCUGUCGUCAGCUCGUGUCGUGAGAUGUUGGGUUAAGUCCCGCAACGAGCGCAACCCCUGUCCUAUGUUGCCAGCGGGUUAUGCCGGGGGCUCGUAGGAGACUGCCGGGGUCAACUCGGAGGAAGGGGGGGAGGACGUCAAGUCAUCAUGCCCCCUAUGUCCAGGGCUUCACACAUGCUACAAUGGCCGGUACAAAGGGCUGCGAUGCCGUGAGGUGGAGGGAAUCCUUUCAAAGCCGGUCUCAGUUCGGAUCGGGGUGUGCAACUCGACCCCGCGAAGUCGGAGUCGCUAGUAAUCGCAGAUCAGCAACGCUGCG
RNAcentral lists this ribosomal RNA (1339 nucleotides) under uncultured bacterium. RNAcentral describes it as "16S ribosomal RNA". It matches the Rfam family "Bacterial small subunit ribosomal RNA", at positions 8 to 1361 of the family's 1533-position model. The record is from RNAcentral.